Molecule: ribosomal RNA, 428 nt
Filed under: uncultured bacterium
Lineage: Bacteria
Description: bacterial SSU rRNA
Rfam family: Bacterial small subunit ribosomal RNA
Source: RNAcentral
ACGCUGGCGGCAUGCCUAACACAUGCAAGUCGAACGAAGCCUUCGGGCUUAGUGGCGCACGGGUGCGCAACACGUGGGAAUCUGCCCUUCGGUUCGGAAUAACAGUUAGAAAUGACUGCUAAUACCGGAUGAUGACGUAAGUCCAAAGAUUUAUCGCCGAAGGAUGAGCCCGCGUAGGAUUAGGUAGUUGGUAGGGUAAUGGCCUACCAAGCCGACGAUCCUUAGCUGGUCUGAGAGGAUGAUCAGCCACACUGGGACUGAGGCACGGCCCAGACUCCUACGGGAGGCAGCAGUGGGGAAUAUUGGACAAUGGGCGAAAGCCUGAUCCAGCAAUGCCGCGUGAGUGAUGAAGGCCUUAGGGUUAUAAAGCUCUUUUACCAGGGAUGAUAAUGACAGUACCUGGAGAAUAAGCUCCGGCUAACUCCGUG